RNAcentral lists this ribosomal RNA (374 nucleotides) under uncultured bacterium. RNAcentral describes it as "bacterial SSU rRNA". It matches the Rfam family "Bacterial small subunit ribosomal RNA", at positions 1132 to 1505 of the family's 1533-position model. The record is from RNAcentral.
UUCACUCUAAGGNCGGACUGCCGGUAAUAAACCGGAGGAAGGUGGGGAUGACGUCAAAUCAUCAUGCCCCUUAUGACCUGGGCUACACACGUGCUACAAUGGUUGGUACAACGAGUUGCGAGUCGGUGACGGCAAGCUAAUCUCUUAAAGCCAAUCUCAGUUCGGAUUGUAGGCUGCAACUCGCCUACAUGAAGUCGGAAUCGCUAGUAAUCGCGGAUCAGCACGCCGCGGUGAAUACGUUCCCGGGCCUUGUACACACCGCCCGUCACACCACGAGAGUUUGUAACACCCGAAGUCGGUGAGGUAACCUUUUGGAGCCAGCCGCCUAAGGUGGGAUAGAUGAUUGGGGUGAAGUCGUAACAGGGUAACCGUAA